This 253-nucleotide ribosomal RNA is filed under the name uncultured bacterium. RNAcentral's name for it is "partial 16S ribosomal RNA". It matches the Rfam family "Bacterial small subunit ribosomal RNA", at positions 524 to 776 of the family's 1533-position model. The record is from RNAcentral.
UACGUAGGGUGCAAGCGUUAAUCGGAAUUACUGGGCGUAAAGCGUGCGCAGGCGGUUUUGUAAGUCUGUCGUGAAAUCCCCGGGCUUAACCUGGGAAUUGCGAUGGAGACUGCAAGGCUAGAAUCUGGCAGAGGGGGGUAGAAUUCCACGUGUAGCAGUGAAAUGCGUAGAGAUGUGGAGGAACACCGAUGGCGAAGGCAGCCCCCUGGGCCGAUACUGACGCUCAUGCACGAAAGCGUGGGGAGCAAACAGG